AAAUUUUUGAGGACGAUGAACGGUUUGAUUCUGAGGUCAGCCCUUCGAUAGCAUCAGUCAUAGAAAAAAUUUGUAAGAAAAAGUCGGAUGUUACAUCUUUGACUAAGGAUAGCAAGAUACCUAGCAAUUGUAAAGCUUUAGUACCACCACCUGUCAACCCAGAAAUUUGGCAAUUUUUAGCCCGUAGAGCUAAGACUGAGGAUUUGAUUUCUCAGAAUAUUCAAAAGCUAACAGGGGCAGGCAUGGUCCCUUUGAUUAAGGUGGCAGAAUUAUUACGAGGGAAAAAUCCUUGUAUUAAGACAAUGAGAGAGUUAAUUUCAAGAGCUAUUUCUAUACAGUGUAAUUUGCAUUUUGAGCUAUCUAUUAAAAGGAGAAUGAAUUUGAAGCCUCAUAUUGAACGUAAAUUCCAUCAAUUGUGUAACAGAAAUGAGGUCGUGGGUGAAAAACUCUUUGGAGAUGAUAUUAGUAAAAGACUUCAGGAGAUUAAUGAUGCACAAAAGAUAAACAAAACUUUCAGUUCAAAAAACUACAGAGGCCGAUCCUAUCGGCGAGGGUACCGGUUUGGUAUGUCAAACCCAAGAGGCAAUUUCAGAGGGCAGAGCCGCUACCCAAGAGGGUCAUACAGGCAACCCAUGAUGAAUUCUCAAUACAGAAGAAAAAAUUGAAGUCAGUUGCCAAGAGUCCUACAGAAAAUAGAAGAGGACAAGCUAGUGGUUUACAGGAACUGUAUGGUGGACCAGGAGGAUCAGCUAUGGUUUUUCUACGUACAUGUUAUGAUGUAUCUAGCAUUUCUGCGAGAUGAAUGGUUUUUGGACAUUCCAUUUGUUUUUUUGCAACAGGAGUUUGCUGACAUUUGGAGUUGAAUCGAACAGUUUUAGUCAAUAGCAUUAAAUUUCGAGAACGUUUGAGAAGAAGCAUAGAGAAAAUGUGAUAAUUUAAGAAUAAUGAGAAAACAACAGUGUUAAUUUGUUACAUGUGAGAGGCAUUUUAAAGUGAACUUUAUAGAGUAUUAAUUGUUUUCUGAAGAUUGUAACAGAUUUUUGUUUUUGAACAUAAUAAAAGUUAUUAUGAA
Molecule: long non-coding RNA, 1072 nt
Organism: Mytilus californianus (California mussel)
Lineage: Eukaryota; Metazoa; Mollusca; Bivalvia; Mytilida; Mytilidae
Exons: 3
Source: RefSeq, a predicted model, not a curated record